GAAUUAUAGCUUAGUUGGUAGAGUGCUUGACUCCUAUGCACAGUGCCCUGAGUUCAAUCCCCAGUAUCA
This 69-nucleotide transfer RNA is filed under the name Marmota monax (woodchuck). RNAcentral describes it as "tRNA.Arg". Lineage: Eukaryota; Metazoa; Chordata; Mammalia; Rodentia; Sciuridae. The record is from RNAcentral.